AAGAGUGCGUAAUAGCUCACUGGUCGAGUGAUCCUGCGCCGAAGAUUUCCGGGGCUAAAACUUACUACCGAAGCUACGGCAUCAGUAAUGAUGGGUAGGGGAGCUUCCCAUACGGGUUGAAGCAUGACCGUAAGGACAUGUGGACAGUAUGGGAGUGAGAAUGUUGGCAUGAGUAGCGAGAUGUGGGUGAGAAUCCCACAGGCCGUAAACCCAAGGUUUCCAGGGGAAGGUUCGUCCGCCCUGGGUUAGUCGGGACCUAAGCUGAGGCCGAAAGGCGUAGGUGAUGGACAACAGGUUGAUAUUCCUGUACUACCGAUAACCGUUUGAGAGAAGGGAUGACACAGUAGGAUAAGCUAAGCACACUGUUGGUUAUGUGUGCCCAAGCAUUGAGGCAGUCAAAGUAGGCAAAUCCGCUUUGAUAAUGCUGGGAUGUGAUGGGGAGCGAAAUUUAGUAGCGAAGUAGCUGAUUUCACACUGUCAAGAAAAGUCUCUAUCGAGGUUAAAGGUACCCGUACCGCAAACCGACACAGGUGGGUGAGGAGAGUAUCCUAAGGCCAGCGAGAGAACUGUUGUUAAGGAACUCGGCAAAAUGACCCCGUAACUUAGGGAUAAGGGGUGCCACCAUCAGGUGGCCGCAGAGAAUAGGCCCAAGCGACUGUUUACCAAAAACAUAGGUUUCUGCUAAGUCGCAAGACGAUGUAUAGGAGCUGACGCCUGCCCGGUGCUGGAAGGUUAAGGGGAUCUGUUAGAGCAAUCG
This 757-nucleotide ribosomal RNA is filed under the name Clostridioides difficile. RNAcentral describes it as "partial 23S ribosomal RNA". It matches the Rfam family "Bacterial large subunit ribosomal RNA", at positions 1126 to 1901 of the family's 2925-position model. Lineage: Bacteria; Bacillati; Bacillota; Clostridia; Peptostreptococcales; Peptostreptococcaceae. The record is from RNAcentral.